AGUAUGAUCUCAUUCAGUAUUAGGGGUCUAACAGCAACAAUUGGCCUUAAUGACCCUGAUCUGCCUCACCUGGGAUCUCCCCACCCCUGAUCCCUGACCAUUGGUCCAAGACUCUAUUUAAGAUCUAAUUGAAGGAUCUUUUUACUGAGUUGUGUUAUAGGAGGAUUUGUCUCUGUCCUGGUCAUAGUAAUGUUUGUAUUUAGCUGUGGAUUCUAUUGAUUGUGAUAUGUAAACUAAAUUCCUUUGAAGUUGUUAUAGACUUAAGUGAGCAAUUGCUGCAUGACCUGAUUUUGACCUGUGUGGAUUUUUCAGACCUGCAUCAUCACUGUAACCUUGCCUGCUGAGGUGACCAAGAGGUGUAGUGAGCCCAAAUCAGUGUCAGGGAAGCAGUGGGGCAGGGUGUCUGCUACUGUCAGCUGAGCUUGUGCUGCAAGCAACCUGCAGCCCCAUAGGAUGAUGAAAGCUCCUGAUAUAUAUUUGAGCCUUCGUGCUGGUCUCUAAAGAAACAGAAAUGCCAUUCCAAUCAAAGAAGAUAGAUGAAAAUGCAAAUUUAUCAAAGUUCCACAGCUCUACCUGGGGGCAUGUGCUCAUUGACCUGAAGUCCAUAAGGAAAGCGAAAACUUCCAGUUCAAGAGGCUAAGUUGCAUGCUGUAAGUACUUUACAGCAUGUAUCAAUUAAGUCUCCCAUCAGUGGCCUUUUGAGGAUAUAGGAUCAGAUCUAAUAACAGUAAUGUGAUGACAGCUGGGGAUAAUGGUGGGGAACAACUACAGUCACAACAGCCACAGCUUCCGGGGCAAUAGCAAAAUCUUGCACACAAAUAAUGGUCAGAUGGAAUGAUCUCAACGUGCUAGAAAAGUGCAUGGCUAGACUAGGAUUUUGGGCUUGGUCUUGGUCUGCUCCUUACCAUUAAGGGCAAGCUCUGAACGUCGGUGACAAAAGGCUGCUGUGUCCGACUUGGCCUCAAGGUGGAACUGUGCGCCUGCCUGUGCCACAGGGAGGGUGAAGGAAGCACGGAAAGGGCUAACCGCGUUUCUCCUGCUGUGUAAGGAGAAACUCACUACUACACGGCUAGGAAUUGCUUACCUUGUAUUUAUUCAAUCAAAGAAACGGUGGGAGGCAAAACUUCUAGAGUGGGUUGCCGGGAGCAGGGUGUUUUGUGCUCCUAGCUAAAAUAUCUGUGGGGGAAAAAAUUGAUUUCCUAAUGAGGUUGCUUCAAGGAGUGCUAUAAUUACACUUUGUGCUGCAUUUUACUGUGAUGACUGGGACAGAGAAAAGGGCAGGAGGGGACAGACUUGGAUGGUCAUAAGCUCUCCCCAGCAUGGCCAGCCUGCUGCACCUGAGGACCCAUACUUAGCACUUCCCUACCAAAGCGCUACCCUACCUGUGUUGAGUUUGAGGCUGGGGGAGCUGACGCGGAUAGGAGGUCAUAGUCAAGGACAUCAGGAGAUCAUCAUGGGCAAGAAAUAAUAGUAAGGCCAUGAGGUGUUCACCUUCAUUUACAAGCUCCACCAUGGUUCAGUGGCAAAAAUAAAUAAACAAAUGGUCAUGUACAAAGCUAAAUGAUACUACAGUCUAUGAAGCAUUUGCAAAGACAAAUCCAAAUAUUCCUAGCAAGGCCAAGUACUACUAAAGCAAAUCUGGAUUAAAAAUGUUGAAGCCUGAAGAAAUGUUCAUUGUAGGCUUCUCUGUCAGAAAUGCACAAAGUUGUUUCUGCCAUUGUUAUGAAGAGGUAAAUAUCCGUUCUUUGAGCUUUCAGAUGAAUGAGUGGCUAGACUGCUAAGAGGCUAAACAUCUUCCCAUCAGAUGCUGCAGUUGUAUAGAAGCACAAGGUUGGAGAGGACCUACAGGAUCAUCUAGUCCAACUGUUCUAUCACCAAUAGUACCCACUAAGCUACUAAAUCAUAUCUUGUAGCAUCUUGUCCAGGUGCUUCUUGAACACAGCGAGGGAUGGUGACUCCACCACCUCCCUGGGCAGGCUGUUCCAGUGCCUGACCACUCUUUGAGAGAAAAAGUUUUUCCUGAUACCUAAACUUCUGUAGGCACAACUUGU
This is a non-coding RNA of Anas platyrhynchos (mallard), 2051 nucleotides long. Lineage: Eukaryota; Metazoa; Chordata; Aves; Anseriformes; Anatidae. The record is from RefSeq and is a predicted model, not a curated record.